RNAcentral lists this ribosomal RNA (157 nucleotides) under Fagonia indica. RNAcentral's name for it is "5.8 ribosomal RNA". It matches the Rfam family "5.8S ribosomal RNA". Rfam says of the family: 5.8S ribosomal RNA (5.8S rRNA) is a component of the large subunit of the eukaryotic ribosome. It is transcribed by RNA polymerase I as part of the 45S precursor that also contains 18S and 28S rRNA. Functionally, it is thought that 5.8S rRNA may be involved in ribosome translocation. The record is from RNAcentral. Lineage: Eukaryota; Viridiplantae; Streptophyta; Magnoliopsida; Zygophyllales; Zygophyllaceae.
CAAAAUGACUCUCGGCAACGGAUAUCUCGGCUCUCGCAUCGAUGAAGAACGUAGCGAAAUGCGAUACUUGGUGUGAAUUGCAGAAUCCAGUGAACCAUCGAGUCUUUGAACGCAAGUUGCGCCCGAAGCCUUCGGGCUAAGGGCACGUCUGCUUGGG